This 311-nucleotide ribosomal RNA is filed under the name uncultured bacterium. Its description in RNAcentral is "bacterial SSU rRNA". It matches the Rfam family "Bacterial small subunit ribosomal RNA", at positions 28 to 334 of the family's 1533-position model. The record is from RNAcentral.
GACGAACGCUGGCGGCGCGCCUAACACAUGCAAGUCGAACGAGCGAGAGAGAGCUUGCUUUCUCGAGCGAGUGGCGAACGGGUGAGUAACGCGUGAGGAACCUGCCUCAAAGAGGGGGACAACAGUUGGAAACGACUGCUAAUACCGCAUAAGCCCACAGGUCGGCAUCGACCAGAGGGAAAAGGAGCAAUCCGCUUUGAGAUGGCCUCGCGUCCGAUUAGCUGGUUGGUGAGGUAACGGCCCACCAAGGCAACGAUACAUAGGGGGACUGAGAGGUUAACCCCCCACAUUGGUACUGAGACACGGACCAA